Molecule: transfer RNA, 72 nt
Filed under: Hydnomerulius pinastri MD-312
Lineage: Eukaryota; Fungi; Basidiomycota; Agaricomycetes; Boletales
Description: tRNA-Gln (CTG) (tRNA-Gln-CTG-2-1)
Rfam family: tRNA
About the family: Transfer RNA (tRNA) molecules are approximately 80 nucleotides in length. Their secondary structure includes four short double-helical elements and three loops (D, anti-codon, and T loops).
Source: RNAcentral
GGCGCUAUAGUGUAGUGGUUAUCACUCGAGAUUCUGAUUCUCGAAACCCAGGUUCGAGCCCUGGUAGCGCCU